UGCUCGUUGCGCGUGAGCAGCUAGUCAUCGUCUAACGCUAGGAUUUUAGUUAACGUUGUAGUUAGUUCUUGUGUAAAUGGCAAGUCGCAGACACUGGACAACAGAGCCAGAUGGAGAAGUGAGCAUUAAGAAAACGUUCACAGGUCCUGCUGCUGCAGAACCCAAGACUGUUAUUCAGUGUCUUGCAAAGACUGUGGAAGAGGUGCCUGAUAAGCCAGCUCUUGUAUACAAGAAAUAUGGAUGGAAAGUUUACAGUUACAAGAAAUACUAUGAAG
Corticium candelabrum is the source of this 275-nucleotide long non-coding RNA. RefSeq lists it as uncharacterized. Lineage: Eukaryota; Metazoa; Porifera; Homoscleromorpha; Homosclerophorida; Plakinidae. The transcript has 3 exons. The record is from RefSeq and is a predicted model, not a curated record.